Echinops telfairi (small Madagascar hedgehog) is the source of this 744-nucleotide long non-coding RNA. RefSeq lists it as uncharacterized. Lineage: Eukaryota; Metazoa; Chordata; Mammalia; Afrosoricida; Tenrecidae. The transcript is spliced from 3 exons. The record is from RefSeq and is a predicted model, not a curated record.
AUCCUUUGCCAGUAUUGUCUCUGCCCCCCACCCCCGCGCCCCAAUAACUGGCAUUAUUUACCAGGUUGUUGGUGUCCAGGUGGACAUGUUUGCUCAGGUCUUCAGAUCAAGUCUAGGCCCUGGCCAAUCCCGCCCCCUCCCCCCGACUAGCAUGCUCCACCCCAGUUCCGGGCACAGCUGAGACCUGACCACCGGGCAAAGGUUGGCCCACGCUCAUCAGGAAACCAGCCACUGAGCCGCCUCCUGGACUUGAAGCCCUCCCAGCUUCAGCUGCGCCUGCUGGAGGGGAGAAUCUCAAUGGCCCCCGAGUGCAUGGCCACGUUUAUUACACCAGGGGAGAAAGCCCUAUUGCCCAGAGCGCAGCAGCAGCAGCAAGUGUUACGAAGGGAAACCGGCAAGGAUGAGGCGUGACAGGCAGUUGUUGCCCUUACUGCGCUUCCCUGGCUCGUCUGGUGUCAUCAUCUGGCCUUUUUCCCGUCAAGGAUCCCAGUUGGAAGAGAUUGUGGAAUGGAAGGCAGGCAGAACCCGAUCGACUACACCAAACAGCGUGGCCACCGAGCUUCCGAAGGCCUUCACCGCUCCUCCAGCGGGCAUAUUCCACGGUGGGGGGCUACAUUCCACUCGGGUGCAGUUGCCACCGUUAGAAACCCCCCCAGGAGCCACCUACCCGUUUGUUCUAGCUUUUGCCCUCUGGGGCGAUCCAGCGUCUGACCCUCCACAGUUAAAUCUCUGGGUGGCUUUGAA